RNAcentral lists this ribosomal RNA (669 nucleotides) under Streptococcus gordonii. RNAcentral describes it as "bacterial SSU rRNA". It matches the Rfam family "Bacterial small subunit ribosomal RNA", at positions 56 to 700 of the family's 1533-position model. Lineage: Bacteria; Bacillati; Bacillota; Bacilli; Lactobacillales; Streptococcaceae. The record is from RNAcentral.
UGCAAGUAGAACGCACAGUUUAUACCGUAGCUUGCUACACCAUARACUGUGAGUUGCGAACGGGUGAGUAACGCGUAGGUAACCUGCCUGGUAGCGGGGGAUAACUAUUGGAAACGAUAGCUAAUACCGCAUAAUAUURAUUAUUGCAUGAUAAUURAUUGAAAGGUGCWAUUGCAYCACUACCAGAUGGACCUGCGUUGUAUUAGCUAGUAGGUGAGGUAACGGCUCACCUAGGCGACGAUACAUAGCCGACCUGAGAGGGUGAUCGGCCACACUGGGACUGAGACACGGCCCAGACUCCUACGGGAGGCAGCAGUAGGGAAUCUUCGGCAAUGGACGAAAGUCUGACCGAGCAACGCCGCGUGAGUGAAGAAGGUUUUCGGAUCGUAAAGCUCUGUUGUAAGAGAAGAACGGGUGUGAGAGUGGAAAGUUCACACUGUGACGGUAUCUUACCAGAAAGGGACGGCUAACUACGUGCCAGCAGCCGCGGUAAUACGUAGGUCCCGAGCGUUGUCCGGAUUUAUUGGGCGUAAAGCGAGCGCAGGCGGUUAGAUAAGUCUGAAGUUAAAGGCUGUGGCUUAACCAUAGUACGCUUUGGAAACUGUUUAACUUGAGUGCAGAAGGGGAGAGUGGAAUUCCAUGUGUAGCGGUGAAAUGCGUAGAUAUAUG